ACUUAAAUAGUUUAAAAAAAAUAUUGAUUUGUGGUGUCAAAGAUAUAAAUAAUUUAUUUUAGGUC
RNAcentral lists this transfer RNA (65 nucleotides) under Neopanorpa chelata. RNAcentral's name for it is "tRNA-His". The record is from RNAcentral. Lineage: Eukaryota; Metazoa; Arthropoda; Insecta; Mecoptera; Panorpidae.